AUUUCCAAGUUCAAACUUACUCUUUUAUUUAUUCACUGGGAUGCUUCUUAAUGAAUUUCAGUCAAUUAAGGAACUUGCUAUGAAUAUUCACCAAACAUUCUGAUUUGUGUGAUAUUAUUAAAGGCACCAAAGGUCAAUUCAGAGUAAGAAACAAUAGUUCCUAUUUGAAUGCCUCGCUACAAAUAGGAAAUGGAAUAGAAAUAAACACUUUGUAACCAUUCUGAAAAUCAAAGCAUGUUUACUUUCUUUUUAAUACUUAUAAACAGAACUUGAACUCCAUGAAGUAACACUACAAUGUAUCUAUGGGGAGACAGAAUGCCUUAAUCCUGUAGAUAAGAAAUUUGUUCUACGGUGUUUAGACAGCUUGAUCACCCAAAGAAAAACAUAUUAAAAAACCCUUCAAAAACAAAACCACCACAAAUUGUAAACUUACAUAAAUAGGUACAAAAUCCCAAACUCAUCAGAGUAAGCUGCCUUUGCCUAGAUCAUUAUUUUCUCCUAGUAUCAAUUUAUGGAUGGCUUUUUUUUUCAUUUUCUUGACCAUUUUGGAUAUUGGGUUUUUUUCCUCACCAUCAAGACCAAAAUGAUAUCCAAUAUAAGAAGGAACUCUGAACAUAAAUAACACCAAAAUAAAUAUAUGUCUGACUCCAGCAGAUAUAUAGGUGGUGGACUAGGCUGACCAGAUGCUAGAGCAUAUGACAAAUACAAAGAGUCAUGGUGUGGUAUAAAAAAACUGGGCAUUUAUAUGGUGCAGCUGGCUAUGCAUAAUCUUUUCCUAAUUUAUGAGGCUGGAGCAUCUGGUGCGUUGCUGUCAU
This is a non-coding RNA of Notechis scutatus (mainland tiger snake), 815 nucleotides long. NCBI's taxonomy places the organism in Eukaryota, Metazoa, Chordata, Lepidosauria, Squamata, Elapidae. The record is from RefSeq and is a predicted model, not a curated record.